GGAAAUGUGCCUGAAAAAUAAGGAACUCCUUGAUAGGGAGAGCUAUAGGGACUCAACCCCCUCAUUUCC
This 69-nucleotide transfer RNA is filed under the name Allobates aff. trilineatus 2 AR-2020. RNAcentral describes it as "tRNA-Ile". The record is from RNAcentral. Lineage: Eukaryota; Metazoa; Chordata; Amphibia; Anura; Aromobatidae.